AGUACCCUGAAAGACCACCCAGGUGCUUCAUAUGGCUGUUGUCUUGCUAUUAAAUAGGUCCAUUACACAAGCUGGAGCACAUUACACCAGCAGACUAAUUCACCCGCCAGCAUAGCAAGGCAAUGAUCCACGGAUCAUUAUUGACUUUUCUGUGUAACUCCUGGCAUCAAAUUCGAUGUGCAUCAAAAUCCAAAGGCCACAGGGAAAUGCAAAUCGAAACCGCAGCGAGGGGCCACCUCACACCCCUGAGGAUGACCAUCAUCCAAAAGACAGACAAUAACAAGUGUUGGUGAGGAUGUGGAGAAACCGGAGCCCUUAUCUACUGCUGGUGGGAAUGCAAAGUGGUACGGGAUCUACGGAAAACCGUGUGGACGUCUCUUAGAUGGUUAACUUCAGGGUUAGCGUAUGGACCCGGCAAUUUCACUCCUAAGUAUAUAUCCAAAAGAAAUGAAAACAUAUGUGCAUGCCAAAACUUGUAUACAGAUGUUCAUAACAGCAUUCAUCAUAAUAGCCAAAGUGUGGAAACGCACCGAACGUCCAUAAAACAGUGAAUGGAUACAUAAAAUGUGGUACAUUCAUAAAAUGGAAUAUUUUUUGGCAAUAAAAAUGAAGUACUGAUA
Molecule: long non-coding RNA, 620 nt
Organism: Leopardus geoffroyi (Geoffroy's cat)
Lineage: Eukaryota; Metazoa; Chordata; Mammalia; Carnivora; Felidae
Exons: 2
Source: RefSeq, a predicted model, not a curated record